RNAcentral lists this ribosomal RNA (1037 nucleotides) under uncultured Clostridium sp. Its description in RNAcentral is "bacterial SSU rRNA". It matches the Rfam family "Bacterial small subunit ribosomal RNA", at positions 337 to 1394 of the family's 1533-position model. The record is from RNAcentral. Lineage: Bacteria; Bacillati; Bacillota; Clostridia; Eubacteriales; Clostridiaceae.
UCCUACGGGAGGCAGCAGUGGGGAAUAUUGCACAAUGGGGGAAACCCUGAUGCAGCAACGCCGCGUGAAUGAUGAAGGCCUUCGGGUCGUAAAGCUCUUUGAUCAGGGAUGAUAAUGACAGUACCUGAAAAACAAGCCACGGCUAACUACGUGCCAGCAGCCGCGGUAAUACGUAGGUGGCGAGCGUUGUCCGGAAUUAUUGGGCGUAAAGGAUGCGUAGGUGGAUAUUUAAGUGAGAUGUGAAAUCCCCGGGCUCAACCCGGGAACUGCAUUUCAAACUGGAUGUCUAGAGUGCAGGAGAGGAAAGCGGAAUUCCUAGUGUAGCGGUGAAAUGCGUAGAUAUUAGGAGGAACACCAGUGGCGAAGGCGGCUUUCUGGACUGUAACUGACACUGAGGCAUGAAAGCGUGGGUAGCAAACAGGAUUAGAUACCCUGGUAGUCCACGCCGUAAACGAUGGGUACUAGGUGUAGGAGGUAUCGACCCCUUCUGUGCCGUCGUUAACACAAUAAGUACCCCGCCUGGGGAGUACGGUCGCAAGACUAAAACUCAAAGGAAUUGACGGGGGCCCGCACAAGCAGCGGAGCAUGUGGUUUAAUUCGAAGCAACGCGAAGAACCUUACCUAGACUUGACAUCUCCUGAAUUACCCGUAACUGGGGAAGCUCUUCGGAGCAGGAAGACAGGUGGUGCAUGGUCGUCGUCAGCUCGUGUCGUGAGAUGUUGGGUUAAGUCCCGCAACGAGCGCAACCCUUAUUUUUAGUUGCUACCAUUUAGUUGAGCACUCUAAAGAGACUGCCCGGGUUAACCGGGAGGAAGGUGGGGAUGACGUCAAGUCAUCAUGCCCCUUAUGUCUAGGGCUACACACGUGCUACAAUGGUGAGAACAAAGAGACGCAAUACCGCGAGGUCAAGCAAAUCUCAUAAAUCUCAUCCCAGUUCGGAUUGCAGGCUGAAACUCGCCUGCAUGAAGCCGGAGUUGCUAGUAAUCGCGAAUCAGCAUGUCGCGGUGAAUACGUUCCCGGGCCUUGUACACACCGCC